RNAcentral lists this ribosomal RNA (465 nucleotides) under uncultured bacterium. Its description in RNAcentral is "partial 16S ribosomal RNA". It matches the Rfam family "Bacterial small subunit ribosomal RNA", at positions 28 to 506 of the family's 1533-position model. The record is from RNAcentral.
GACGAACGCUGGCGGCGCGCCUAACACAUGCAAGUCGAACGAGCGAGAGAGAGCUUGCUUUCUCAAGCGAGUGGCGAACGGGUGAGUAACGCGUGAGGAACCUGCCUCAAAGAGGGGGACAACAGUUGGAAACGACUGCUAAUACCGCAUAAGCCCACGACCCGGCAUCGGGUAGAGGGAAAAGGAGCAAUCCGCUUUGAGAUGGCCUCGCGUCCGAUUAGCUAGUUGGUGAGGUAACGGCCCACCAAGGCGGCGAUCGGUAGCCGGACUGAGAGGUUGAACGGCCAAAUUGGGACAGGGACACGGCCCAGACCCCUACGGGGGGGCGCAGGGGGGAAUAUGGAACAAUGGGGGAAACCCUGAGGCAGCGGGGCCGGGUGGAGGAAGAAGGUCUUCGGAUUGUAAACUCCUGUUGUUGAGGAAGAUAAUGACGUAACUAAAAAAGGAAGUGCGGGCAAACUACGU